Molecule: ribosomal RNA, 436 nt
Filed under: uncultured bacterium
Lineage: Bacteria
Description: bacterial SSU rRNA
Rfam family: Bacterial small subunit ribosomal RNA
Source: RNAcentral
AUGGGAACGCGAAGAACCUUACCUAGACUUGACAUCUCCUGAAUAGUGUAGAGAUACAUGAAGCCCUUCGGGGCAGGAAAACAGGUGGUGCAUGGUUGUCGUCAGCUCGUGUCGUGAGAUGUUGGGUUAAGUCCCGCAACGAGCGCAACCCUUAUUACUAGUUGCUACCAUUAAGUUGAGCACUCUAGUGAGACUGCCCGGGUUAACCGGGAGGAAGGCGGGGAUGACGUCAAAUCAUCAUGCCCCUUAUGUCUAGGGCAACACACGUGCUACAAUGGUGAGUACAGAUAGAUGCGAUACCGCAAGGUGGAGCCAAACUCUAAAACUCAUCCCAGUUCGGAUUGUAGGCUGCAACUCGCCUACAUGAAGUUGGAGUUGCUAGUAAUCGCGAAUCAGAAUGUCGCGGUGAAUACGUUCCCGGGUCUUGUACACACCG